This 756-nucleotide ribosomal RNA is filed under the name uncultured Planomicrobium sp. RNAcentral describes it as "bacterial SSU rRNA". It matches the Rfam family "Bacterial small subunit ribosomal RNA", at positions 62 to 803 of the family's 1533-position model. Lineage: Bacteria; Bacillati; Bacillota; Bacilli; Caryophanales; Caryophanaceae. The record is from RNAcentral.
UCGAGCGGAAGUUGGGAGCUUGCUCCCUUCGUUUAGCGGCGGACGGGUGAGUAACACGUGGGCAACCUGCCCUGCAGAUCGGGAUAACUCCGGGAAACCGGUGCUAAUACCGAAUAGUUUUUUGCCCCUCCUGGGGCGGAACGGAAAGACGGUUUCGGCUGUCACUGCAGGAUGGGCCCGCGGCGCAUUAGCUAGUUGGUGGGGUAACGGCCCACCAAGGCGACGAUGCGUAGCCGACCUGAGAGGGUGAUCGGCCACACUGGGACUGAGACACGGCCCAGACUCCUACGGGAGGCAGCAGUAGGGAAUCUUCCGCAAUGGACGAAAGUCUGACGGAGCAAUGCCGCGUGAGUGACGAAGGUUUUCGGAUCGUAAAACUCUGUUGUAAGGGAAGAACAAGUACCAAGUAACUACUGGUACCUUGACGGCACCUUACCAGAAAGCCACGGCUAACUACGUGCCAGCAGCCGCGGUAAUACGUAGGUGGCAAGCGUUGUCCGGAAUUAUUGGGCGUAAAGCGCGCGCAGGCGGUCCCUUAAGUCUGAUGUGAAAGCCCACGGCUCAACCGUGGAGGGUCAUUGGAAACUGGGGGACUUGAGUGCAGAAGAGGAAAGUGGAAUUCCAUGUGUAGCGGUGAAAUGCGUAGAGAUGUGGAGGAACACCAGUGGCGAAGGCGACUUUCUGGUCUGUAACUGACGCUGAGGCGCGAAAGCGUGNGGAGCAAACAGGAUUAGAUACCCUGNUAGUCCACGCCGU